AGGAUGGUAGUUAAAUAUAACAUUUGGUUUGCAAUCAAAAAGUAUUGAUAAUAUUCAAUUCAUCUUA
Molecule: transfer RNA, 67 nt
Filed under: Hemithyrsocera vittata
Lineage: Eukaryota; Metazoa; Arthropoda; Insecta; Blattodea; Blattellidae
Description: tRNA-Ala
Rfam family: tRNA
About the family: Transfer RNA (tRNA) molecules are approximately 80 nucleotides in length. Their secondary structure includes four short double-helical elements and three loops (D, anti-codon, and T loops).
Source: RNAcentral